UUGUUUUCUGUUCAUAUUAACAAGUGAAGUCGUGGCCAGAGGAACUUUAGUGAAUAAACAUAUCACAUAUGUAGUUUGAGGAAGCAUGCUUGGAGAGCAAUAUGUUGGUGUUUCUAUUCAUCACAGCAUUCCAAAUCUUGACGAUGAGAGACUUAUUAGAUUGUAUGAAAAUAAUCCAAUCCAGACAGUAAGGGAUACUAUUGAUUAUGUUAUUGCUUGGCCUCAAUCACAUGUCAAAAAUACCCGAGCCAAUCGCUCCAACAACACUACAAAAACAUUCCUACUCCAACACAACCAGAAAACAAUGGAAAGCUAAGGCUUUAGAGGACUGCAUUGCAGGAUCCAGGAGCAGCUGCAGAUGGAUUAAUUUUUAAAUGAACAAAUAUAAUGAAUUAUGUAUAGAUUUUAGCAUCAUAGGAAAACUUGGUUCUAGUUUGCAGGAUAUUUUCUUAUUUAUUUGUAUCUUUCAUAUGAAUGUCUGAUUUGAUUCAGUUGUGAACUCCGCACACUUUUAAUACAUGUAUUUGUUCCUACUAAUUAGUCCACUGGAUUUUCUAGUGAGGAUGCUUGUGCGAAUGGAAUU
Molecule: long non-coding RNA, 583 nt
Organism: Aegilops tauschii subsp. strangulata
Lineage: Eukaryota; Viridiplantae; Streptophyta; Magnoliopsida; Poales; Poaceae
Source: RefSeq, a predicted model, not a curated record